This 632-nucleotide ribosomal RNA is filed under the name Stenotrophomonas sp. L3T. RNAcentral's name for it is "bacterial SSU rRNA". It matches the Rfam family "Bacterial small subunit ribosomal RNA", at positions 138 to 763 of the family's 1533-position model. Lineage: Bacteria; Pseudomonadati; Pseudomonadota; Gammaproteobacteria; Lysobacterales; Lysobacteraceae. The record is from RNAcentral.
GGGGGAUAACGUAGGGAAACUUACGCUAAUACCGCAUACGACCUACGGGUGAAAGCAGGGGGACCUUCGGGCCUUGCGCGAUUGAAUGAGCCGAUGUCGGAUUAGCUAGUUGGCGGGGUAAAGGCCCACCAAGGCGACGAUCCGUAGCUGGUCUGAGAGGAUGAUCAGCCACACUGGAACUGAGACACGGUCCAGACUCCUACGGGAGGCAGCAGUGGGGAAUAUUGGACAAUGGGCGCAAGCCUGAUCCAGCCAUACCGCGUGGGUGAAGAAGGCCUUCGGGUUGUAAAGCCCUUUUGUUGGGAAAGAAAUCCAGCCGGCUAAUACCCGGUUGGGAUGACGGUACCCAAAGAAUAAGCACCGGCUAACUUCGUGCCAGCAGCCGCGGUAAUACGAAGGGUGCAAGCGUUACUCGGAAUUACUGGGCGUAAAGCGUGCGUAGGUGGUCGUUUAAGUCCGUUGUGAAAGCCCUGGGCUCAACCUGGGAACUGCAGUGGAUACUGGGCGACUAGAGUGUGGUAGAGGGUAGCGGAAUUCCUGGUGUAGCAGUGAAAUGCGUAGAGAUCAGGAGGAACAUCCAUGGCGAAGGCAGCUACCUGGACCAGACACUGACACUGAGGCACGAAAGCGUG